UGGGUGACCUGCCCCCUACUCUGGGAUAAGCCUGGGAAACUGGGUCUAAUACCGGAUAUGACCUGCGAUUGCAUGAUCGUGGGUGGAAAGUUCUUCGGUGGGGGAUGGGCCCGCGGCCUAUCAGCUUGUUGGUGGGGUGAUGGCCUACCAAGGCGACGACGGGUGGCCGGCCUGAGAGGGCGACCGGCCACACUGGGACUGAGACACGGCCCAGACUCCUACGGGAG
Molecule: ribosomal RNA, 227 nt
Filed under: uncultured bacterium
Lineage: Bacteria
Description: partial 16S ribosomal RNA
Rfam family: Bacterial small subunit ribosomal RNA
Source: RNAcentral